AUUGAACGCUGGCGGCAGGCCUAAUACAUGCAAGUCGAGCGGAUGAAGGGAGCUUGCUCCUGGAUUCAGCGGCGGACGGGUGAGUAAUGCCUAGGAAUCUGCCUGGUAGUGGGGGAUAACGUCCGGAAACGGGCGCUAAUACCGCAUACGUCCUGAGGGAGAAAGUGGGGGAUCUUCGGACCUCACGCUAUCAGAUGAGCCUAGGUCGGAUUAGCUAGUUGGUGGGGUAAAGGCCUACCAAGGCGACGAUCCGUAACUGGUCUGAGAGGAUGAUCAGUCACACUAGAACUGAGACACGGUCCAGACUCCUACGGGAGGCAGAAGUGGGGAAUAUUGGACAAUGGGCGAAAGCCUGAUCCAGCCAUGCCGCGUGUGUGAAGAAGGUCUUCGGAUUGUAAAGCACUUUAAGUUGGGAGGAAGGGCAGUAAGUUAAUACCUUGCUGUUUUGACGUUACCAACAGAAUAAGCACCGGCUAACUUCGUG
Molecule: ribosomal RNA, 484 nt
Filed under: uncultured bacterium
Lineage: Bacteria
Description: partial 16S ribosomal RNA
Rfam family: Bacterial small subunit ribosomal RNA
Source: RNAcentral